UCCGAGUUGACCCCGGCGGUCUCCCGUGGGUCCCCAACCCUCCGAAGAGGUUGCUGGCAACACGGGACAAGGGUUGCGCUCGUUGCGGGACUUAACCCAACAUCUCACGACACGAGCUGACGACAGCCAUGCACCACCUGUACACCGACCACAAGGGGGCCCCUGUCUCCAGAGGUUUCCGGUGUAUGUCAAGCCUUGGUAAGGUUCUUCGCGUUGCGUCGAAUUAAGCCACAUGCUCCGCCGCUUGUGCGGGCCCCCGUCAAUUCCUUUGAGUUUCAGUCUUGCGACCGUACUCCCCAGGCGGAUAACUUAAUGCGUUAGCUGCGCCACCGAAAGCCUAAGGCCCCCGACAGCUAGUUAUCAUCGUUUACGGCGUGGACUAC
RNAcentral lists this unclassified non-coding RNA (383 nucleotides) under uncultured Actinomycetes bacterium. RNAcentral's name for it is "uncultured actinobacterium contains 16S-23S intergenic spacer region". Lineage: Bacteria; Bacillati; Actinomycetota; Actinomycetes. The record is from RNAcentral.